CAGCCCCCGAGCUGGACCCCUCCGGCUGCCUCGUGAGCUCUCCCGGCCCUGCGCCGUCCUCCCCCGCCAGGGCCGUUUGCUCCCUCCAGAGCUGGCAAGCAUAAUUGCUGCUUUCCACAGUGACAUAAAAAUCUAAGAGGCACAAUCAAUACAGCGCACACACACAUCAUCGUCCUUCAUUGCAAACGAUAAAAGCGUAAACAGCAGGGGUGGCGGCAACUCCCGAGGCUGCGGUGGGGGCAGGGCGGACUGCCACAGUCUCCUCGCCCGUCCCUCCCCUCUGGGGCACCGUCUCACUCUGGGGAGCUGCCGCUCAUUAAAGCACAGUUGGGAAACGGUUUUCUCUCUCUUUUCCUUCCAGAUGCAGCAACCCCAGUCUCUGUAACGCGACUUCAGAAAUCCAAUUUGUCUUUCCUUUCACUAUUUUAAAUGUUUUUUCUUGCUUCCCUGCAUCUCCCCAAAUACAGUGCUAGAAGCGCCUUUCUGGAGACAGAAGGACUUUCCUGGGUCUUGUUUGUCACAAGCCCACAAACUGACCUCAAAGGGGAGACCAGCCCUUGAUGGCCAGCUUCUUUGCUCCAUCCAGUCUGCCACCCACAGCUUGCCUUAGAAUAUGCGCAGAAACCAUCACACCCCAGCUCUCAGACUUGCAGCGACUUCUUCAAACUAGUUACUUAAUGAACGUCAUCCGGUUCCGAUUCAGCCUUGUCAUAUUCUCAUUUGCAAAAGCCAAUCUGCUUUACGAUUCCAACCUCUGGCUAGAAACCGCUCCCAAUUUCAUGUCAUCCAUAAACUUGAUGAACGAUUAGCUUGCUCCUCUGCAGUCAUUCAUUUAUUUAUUCAACUAACAUGUAGUGAGUGCCUACUGGAUGCUGGGUGCUAGACACAGAGUUAAAGGAGACGCAGGUCUUAUCCUUGAGAAACUCCUAUGCUGGCGGUGGAGCAGACGUGGAAAUGGUUUGUUGCAGGUGUCCUAUGCUCAACCAGGGCAGAGGAUGAGAGCGGCCUCCUCAGGGGAGGGGCGGUGUAAGCUGGCCUUAAGACGCUGGAGGGGGAGACCUUCCCAGCUGGGGAAGAAAUGGUGUCCUAGUUCGAGAGACCAGAAUGUGCACAAGCAAGGAGUUCUGGGUGGUGACGGGAGAAGAAAUGUACUGAUAUCUAUAAACGUGAGGGGCAAUGAGCCUCAGGACAGGAUCCAGCUGGGACCGGGAGGCCUGUCUCUUGGCUCUUCCCGUUUCUGCUUCAUCCUGAGGCUCCAUCUGGUAGCAAAACGGCUUUGAGCAGCCUCAGGGUUACAUCCUCCCAGGUUCAAUUCAUGGAAAAGAAAGUCUGCUCUCCUCUGACAGACUCGGCACUGGGUCUCCCUGGAUCACAUGGUCUCCCCGACCAAUCAGAAUGGCUGGGGGAAUACAGGCACUUUGGCCAGGUCUGAGGCACGUGGUGUCCCUGGACCUGGGGUGGAGUCAGCUGCCUUUGAAGCCCUGGGCUGAAGGGAGGGUGGGGAUUCCCAGGGGAAAGUUGGGUGGUGUUGGUGCUGAGAAGGGUGCACAGGUGCAGGGCUGCCGGAACACAGAUGGCCACUAUGUGGCCACUGGCGCGCUGUGGCACUCUGUCUCCCCAGGUGGUGGAAGGGGAGCCCCGGGGGUCCUUUCUGCGUGGUGGGUACAGGGAGUCACUCACAGGCACUCCGAGGGUGAGGUCGGCCGCGUGAGGCCUCCUCGCUUCCACGCUCUUCUAACUGUCUGCAGGUGGGUUUGGGUGGACUUCCUGCUUUCCCAAAUGCUGGAUUUAAGCCAGUCAGCAUGUAAUCUCCAGCCAGUCCUCUGUCCUCAGCCUCCCCACUCGUCAAGCUCUUUUCCUGCCCUUCCGCCAAACUGAACCUCCAGCCAUUUCGGGAACUCCACGGUGGCCACCGGCACCUUCUAACCAGAACUCGGCACGGGAGGCUCAGCUGGAGCCAGGGCUUGCCUGCUCUAAUGGGCCUCUCAUUGGCACAUCCUGAGCACUGCAGCCUUCCAUCAGGACUUAAGACGGAGUGGUGGGCUCCUCGGUAGAUAGGUAGGGUCCCCGAGGAUAGGUUCCUUGGGGACAGACAGAUCUAGGUUCUAGUCUGUAGGGACCAGGAUUAAGUUCAGCUGUGGGUGACAGACACCACCCCGAGGAGAAAAACAGUGCCCCAAAGACAGAAGUUUAUUUCUCUCUCAAACAAUCAAGAACCUAGAAGGUGGAAGAGAAGUUUCUCAGAGUCAAUGUCAAUCAUUCUUUCUUGCUGCUCAGCUCUCUUGUUUAUUUUUAUUUCUUUUUUAAAGAUCAGCACCUGAGCUAACAACUGUUGCCAAUCUUCUUUUUUUCUUCUUCUUCUUCUUCUCCCCGAAGCCCCCAGUACAUAGUCGUAUACCCUAGUUGUGAGUGCCUCUGGUUGAGCUCUGUGGGACGCCGCCUCAGCGUGGCCUGAUGAGUGGUGUCAUGUCCGUGCCCAGGAUCCGAACCAGCGAAACCCUGGGCCGCCGAAGCAGAGCGCACGAACUUAACCACUCGGCCACGGGCCAGCCCCAGCUCUCUUCUUCAAGUGGCUUCCUCUUCAUGGUCCAUGGUGGCUGUUUGGUUCCAGCCCCUAGGAGAAGAAGGGGACAAAGAAGCGCAUGUUCUCCCUUUCAGGACACUCCCAGAACUGCACGCUACACUUGUGCUUACAGCUCACAGUCAGAAUUGAGUCACGUGGCUAAAAUGGCCCCCAGGGAGGCUGGGAAGAGAGUCUCGAUUCCAGGCAGCCAUGGGCCUUAUUAAAGGUGAGAGGAGGGGAGAAUGGAUAUUGGGGGACAACCAGCAGUCUAUGCUCAGACUCCCCAAAUGCAUUCACAUCCAUGAUCUCACCAACAGCUCUGGGAGAGGGACCUUGUAUUUCCCAUGUUACAGUGGAUCGCCCACGUUCCAGCAGCCGCGUUCACCGUGUGACAGGUUGGGAAGCACUGUCACACCAGCUUCAACACCCCUGUGAGCCCGAGCUGGGGGAGGAGAGUCACCCCACAGAUCCGACGAGGAAAGCCAGACUCAGAGAAGGCGAGGCCUUGCCCAUGUACCAGCAGCCGCUCCUGGAGUCCAGGGUGGCCAGACUGGAGGGUCUUGUCUGGUCCUGUGAGUCCAGGCCUCCAUCGAUACUGGAAAAUGAGCUCGGACUUCGGAGAGGCGUGCAGUCUACUAUCUACUGCUUGCUGAAUGGCCUCACCCCUGCAAUCCUUAGUUUCCUCGUCUGAAUAACAGAGGUAUGCGCUUAACAGAAUGCCUGGCCCACAGUAACCGGUUGUUCAACACAUUGGAGACACUACAUUUGUUUGUGUUUAGAGUUGCUGGGCUGACCAUGGUUAAGAGCUUGAAGUCUGGAUUCGGAUUCCCUGGGUUAAAGUCCUGGAACUACUUCUUAUUAGCACAGGAAGGCGUUCCCAUGGCAACCUCCUGGCGACACAAAACAGCCAUUCCUCCCAGAAUGGGCAGCCUUCUUCCAGUCUCCUGGAGAAGCCACAGCAGUGGAGCCCCGCAGAGCCCUUAGCACUCUGGACAGAAGACCACAGACCGCGGGCAGCCGCCUCUCUAACUGGCCCGUCCCAGGGCUUCGCUCUGGAGGAUGCGGCUGGAUGGGAGUUUAUUCACUUUAAUGUAUAUUUAUCGAGGGCCUGUGAUAACACACAAGUGCUGGCUGGGGACCCAGCAAUGGAGAAGACAGAUAGAGCUUGCCCUCAGGGCCUAAAAUUCUAGUUGGCUUCUAUUCAAGAAAAGGGAAAAGGAACAAAACCAUUUCAGCCAGUGCCAAGCUCUGAGAAGGGAGUGAAACAGGGCCACACAGAGAGGGAGACUGAGGAGGGGCCAGGAGGCCCUUGUGGAGAUGCCGUCUGCGGUGAGCCCCAAAUGCACAGAGGAACCCAGGCACCCAAGACCCUGGGGGGUGUGCGUCCAGGCAGAGGGGGCAGUGAGUGCAAAGGUCCUGAGGCAGGAAGGAGCUUGAGUGUUUGAAGAACAGGCAGAGGCUGGAAGGGCUGCAGUGUGGCACCAGUGAGGGUCUGUGAGCUGAGCUCAGGGGUUGGGACUUUAUUUUAACUGUGAUGGGCAGCCAUUUGGGGGGUUUUAAGCAGGGUAGAGGCAUGGUCUGAUGCAAGUUUUUAAGCUGUUUUUUGGAUUGCUUUGGGGCAAGUUGGGCUCUU
Molecule: long non-coding RNA, 4196 nt
Organism: Equus caballus (horse)
Lineage: Eukaryota; Metazoa; Chordata; Mammalia; Perissodactyla; Equidae
Source: Ensembl